RNAcentral lists this ribosomal RNA (461 nucleotides) under uncultured bacterium. RNAcentral's name for it is "bacterial SSU rRNA". It matches the Rfam family "Bacterial small subunit ribosomal RNA", at positions 29 to 531 of the family's 1533-position model. The record is from RNAcentral.
AACGAACGCUGGCGGCAGGCCUAACACAUGCAAGUCGAGCGAGGUAGCAAUACCUAGCGGCGGACGGGUUAGUAACGCGUGGGAACGUGCCCAAAGGUACGGAAUAGCCUCGGGAAACUGAGAGUAAUACCGUAUGUGCCCUUCGGGGGAAAGAUUUAUCGCCUUUGGAUCGGCCCGCGUUGGAUUAGGUAGUUGGUGGGGUAAUGGCCUACCAAGCCGACGAUCCAUAGCUGGUUUGAGAGGAUGAUCAGCAACACUGGGACUGAGACACGGCCCAGACUCCUACGGGAGGCAGCAGUGGGGAAGUCUUAGACAAUGGGGGAAACCCGUGAUCUAGCCAUGCCGCGUGAGCGAUGAAGGCCUUAGGGUUGUAAAGCUCUUUCAGCUGGGAAGAUAAUGACGGUACCAGCAGAAGAAGCCCCGGCUAACUCCGUGCCAGCAGCCGCGGUAAAGUCUGUACU